This 243-nucleotide ribosomal RNA is filed under the name Triticum aestivum (bread wheat). RNAcentral describes it as "partial small subunit ribosomal RNA". The record is from RNAcentral. Lineage: Eukaryota; Viridiplantae; Streptophyta; Magnoliopsida; Poales; Poaceae.
AUGGAAAUGGUUUGUUGGAACUGCCGAGGGUUGGGUCGACCUCGGACAGUCCAAUAGCUUGUGUGUCUCACAAAGACACAUCGACCCAACGUUAUCUUUCUUUCCGAAACAAGGAAAAAUAGAAAUAUUGAGAGUUUGCGUUAUCGCUAGGGUAUGAAAAAUGUUUUUACUAUUUCUAGGCCAUGCAAAGGAGAUGGUCUAGCGCUCGUUUUGAUAUAUAUGAUCUGUACACUUUGGAACUGA